UUAAAAGCAAUGACGAGGAUAGUAAUUAUGAUUUAACCAAAAAGAGAACUGUUGGUUGGUGCAAAACAGUGGUUUAGAUCUUAAUGAAUAUCACCUUUGAGCUGUCAGUCGAACUUAAUUAAGUAGACUUAACUGGUUCCCUCCAUUAUCAGGGUUGCUGAUUGUUAGCACAGUCAGUGCAAGUGGCAAUUUUUAAUAAUUGCAAUCAAGGUGGUACCGCGUUCGUUGACGUCCUUUUG
This 239-nucleotide non-coding RNA is filed under the name Liquorilactobacillus vini. RNAcentral describes it as "Lactobacillus vini T-box sequence". It matches the Rfam family "T-box leader". Rfam says of the family: Uncharged tRNA acts as the effector for transcription antitermination of genes in the T-box leader family. T-boxes are found upstream of many aminoacyl-tRNA synthetase genes and some amino acid biosynthetic genes usually in Gram-positive bacteria. Lineage: Bacteria; Bacillati; Bacillota; Bacilli; Lactobacillales; Lactobacillaceae. The record is from RNAcentral.